Molecule: ribosomal RNA, 1287 nt
Filed under: Triticum aestivum (bread wheat)
Lineage: Eukaryota; Viridiplantae; Streptophyta; Magnoliopsida; Poales; Poaceae
Description: partial small subunit ribosomal RNA
Source: RNAcentral
AUGGAUCCACAACGAGACUUCCCCGCCGACGUGCUGGCGAACAUCCUGAUGCGCCUCCCGCCCAACACCCGCCGCCGUCUCCGCCUCGUCUGCCGGCACUGGCGCCACGUCGUCGGCACGCGCACGGCCACCAGCCUACGGAGCCGCGCCAAGACACUCGUCGCCGCCACGGGCUCCGCCUGCGUCAUCGACAACCUAUGGGCUCCAUGGAAGCCCAGGGAGCUGUGGCCGGAUUUCAUGGCACACCGCUACAAGGACAUGAGCGUCGUCGGAACCUGCAACGGCCUCGUCUGCCUCUGCGAUGACCGGGAGCUCGGCGGUGCCAUCACCGUGGCCAACCCUGCCACGGGCGAGGCGCUGAACCUCCCGCCGCUGCCGCCGCCGCGUUUUGAUGAUCAAAGCACGUGCUACGAUAGGAGCUGGCACGCGGCCUACAGCUUCGCCUACCUCCUGACCUCGGGGCUCUACAAGGUUGUCCACGUCCCCUGCCAUCUGGACCGGUCCGUCUACGACAGGGUGCACGUGUUUACGCUGGGGGAGAAAUCGUGGCGGGGUGUGCCGGCCAGCUCCGGCGCGAGAUGUAGCCUCGGCGACAACGUCGUCAGCGUCGACGGCGUGACGUACUGGACCACGCCGGAGGCCGACAAGGUCAUGUCGUUCGACCUCGAGCACGGACGCUUCACGUCCAUUAGGUCACUACCCUCCGUAGUGUUGUCCAGCUCCAAAAACGGCGGCAGCUGGCACCUAGGAGAUGUGCACGGGAGGCUGGCCAUCGUCUUUACCCAGUUCUCGCCGGCGAUGGAGAGGACGGAGGUCUGGGUAAUGCAGGGUCGUACGGUGGGGCAGAUCAGGUGGAGCUGCUGGUACAUCAUUCAGACGAGAACGCCGCCGCAUCGGCCGCGGGAACCGUCAUCGAGAACAAAGAUGCGGCGCCUCACAUGGCCACUCCUCGUCCAGGACGAGCAGAUCCUCACAUGGGAGUGGUCGUUGUAUGAACGAGAUCAUGUCUUGUACAGGCACAAACCGAUUGACGACCACACAAGGAAGGCGAAGCAUGGCGCAGUGGAUAUCAGCGAGAGGAAUCGGGGGACGGUGGUCGCCGACAUUAACAUGUUGCCACACCGCAACGACCGCCGGACGUUCGCCUACGUGGAGACCAAGGAACCGUUGAGUGCCUACGGGCCUCUUGCGUCACCAUUUCCCCUGUACAUGCAAUCAUCGUCGUCGUCAUUACCCCGCUCUCAUCUUCCAACAAAGCUUGCGCGACACUACGAGCGUAGCCAUUGA